UUUUAUGGAGAGUUUGAUCCUGGCUCAGGAUAAACGCUGGCGGCGUGCCUAAUACAUGCAAGUCGAGCGAACGGACGAGAAGCUUGCUUCUCUGAUGUUAGCGGCGGACGGGUGAGUAACACGUGGAUAACCUACCUAUAAGACUGGGAUAACUUCGGGAAACCGGAGCUAAUACCGGAUAAUAUUUUGAACCGCAUGGUUCAAAAGUGAAAGACGGUCUUGCUGUCACUUAUAGAUGGAUCCGCGCUGCAUUAGCUAGUUGGUAAGGUAACGGCUUACCAAGGCAACGAUGCAUAGCCGACCUGAGAGGGUGAUCGGCCACACUGGAACUGAGACACGGUCCAGACUCCUACGGGAGGCAGCAGUAGGGAAUCUUCCGCAAUGGGCGAAAGCCUGACGGAGCAACGCCGCGUGAGUGAUGAAGGUCUUCGGAUCGUAAAACUCUGUUAUUAGGGAAGAACAUAUGUGUAAGUAA
This 475-nucleotide ribosomal RNA is filed under the name Staphylococcus aureus. RNAcentral's name for it is "bacterial SSU rRNA". It matches the Rfam family "Bacterial small subunit ribosomal RNA", at positions 1 to 464 of the family's 1533-position model. The record is from RNAcentral. Lineage: Bacteria; Bacillati; Bacillota; Bacilli; Caryophanales; Staphylococcaceae.